Molecule: long non-coding RNA, 478 nt
Filed under: Malus domestica (apple)
Lineage: Eukaryota; Viridiplantae; Streptophyta; Magnoliopsida; Rosales; Rosaceae
Description: long non-coding RNA (MDOM_LNC019027)
Source: RNAcentral
UAUUGAUAUCUCCAAUAAGUUACAAAUAUGUACAUAUACAUGAAUCAAAAUAAACAAACAAGAUGGAGCAUUCACAAAGGUUGCUCAGGAGAAGUCUCAGCAGUCGGCAGAGCCCUAGAAAGAGGAGGCACCAUAGGGUGAUUAUUCGAAGCCUCAGUACUAGGCAGAACCGCAGAAGGAGGAGGCACCGAAGGUUGAUCAUUUGGAGCUUCAUUACGCGGUACAGCCCUAGAAGACGAAGGUAAUAAAUGCCUUUGGAACAAACCCACAAACCUCUAAUGAUCAAGUAAAAUCUAACCAUCAGAUUCCUGCAGCUGGUCGAGCUUCCUCUUCAUGUUUGUAGCAUACUCAUGUGCGAGCAUGUGCAACUAUUUAUUCUCAUGCUUGAGCCAUUUGAUCUUCUGUUUGAGACUUAUCACUUCAGUCGCCAAUGAUUCCACUUGGCGGGUUCGAGCAAAUAGGCAUUGGGCCAUAUUAG